AUCUCUGUUUGCUGAAUAUUGUUAUUGACCAUUGUGAGGAUCUCCAGAAGACCCAUAUCAUAGAUCUGACAAAGAUCUUUGUCAGCUGAAUAUUGCUAUUGACCGUUGUGAGGAUCUCCAGAAGACCCAUAUCAUAGAUCUGACAAAGAUCUCUGUCAGCUGAAUAUUGCUAUUGACCGUUGUGAGGAUCUUAAGAAGACC
Molecule: long non-coding RNA, 201 nt
Organism: Trifolium pratense (red clover)
Lineage: Eukaryota; Viridiplantae; Streptophyta; Magnoliopsida; Fabales; Fabaceae
Exons: 3
Source: RefSeq, a predicted model, not a curated record